Molecule: long non-coding RNA, 1216 nt
Organism: Sycon ciliatum
Lineage: Eukaryota; Metazoa; Porifera; Calcarea; Leucosolenida; Sycettidae
Exons: 3
Source: RefSeq, a predicted model, not a curated record
GGACAAACAAAAGUAGCGUCGUCUCCAUCGAACCAGUUGUCAGUGGCAACAUAUAGGAAUCGUGUACAUUUCUUCGUUUCUUCUUUGCUGUUUUCAGUGAGUGUUUUGUUUUCUCUUUGUCCUUGAUCUCGACGGUGUUGUCGUGCUCAUUACCUUACUGAGACGUCUCUUGUGACUGUAGCCAGUGUCACGGAGGAUUUUAUUGGCGUGACGAGGUAGAUCGCCGAGAUCGAGUGUGAAAAAUGCUCUGCAUUAGUAGCUCCUGUAGAAUGUCUUCUAGGAUGGCGUAUCCAUGGUCAACAAAGCCAAGGUGCAAGACAGCAUAAGAGAUCGUGUAAACGAUGUGAACUCCAAAAGAUAAUCUGGACAAAUAAAUUAUAUUGUAACUGGAGAGUGCAAUCGUGCUUGGGACCCAUCCCAAUGGCAAUGCCAUCACAUGGCUGUGAUGACUAGUGUAUACCUGGGAGAGUUUUCCUCAACUGAGACGGAGUGUAGGUGGAUGGAUUAUGAGAAAUGCGAAGAUGUGGAGUUCAAGGCUAGAUGCACUUCACAUUCGGCAUGUGAUCUCGGCGUCUGGGACCUGAUAACGUCUUGGUUGGAUGGGUAAUCAAGGAUGAUACUACUCGGCACAUCAAUGUACAUGUCAAUGUAAUUUUUAAUUUUUCAGAGCUAUACUAUUUACGUCUUGAUGCUUACUUCGGUACUAGCGUGUUUCCCCCGGAUUAUUUCUAUCAUCAUGCGUGUUCUUGGGCUGAGCGAGCACAUGCACGAGUGUGCAGCUAUAACCCUGUGUAUCUUUGGUUACACUUUGUUCUGCAAUACAUGUACCUUGUAACAGUAUGUGCUUGCACUGCUUUGUGUGGCCUGCGUAUUUCAGGACUAUUCAGUGCAUUAGACCCAGGUUGGUUUGGUUGCCGGAUGAUCUCUUGUUGCGUCGCUCUGUGUUUUGUAUUCAUCAAUUUUUGGGCUUGAGAAUUGAGCUGGCGUGUGGUUCCCAAUAUGUAAACAUAAUGCUGGUGCUCUGUGUUUCGAUUAUCGACUGUCCGAGCAGUCACGAUUCAUUACCAGAACGGUCAAUACUGUAGUCUCUUCACGUGUUUGUCUUUUUGUGUUUUCGCCGGGGGAAUUAGCGGUGACGUUGCACAUAGAACGGCAGUGUUGCAUCACUGGACGACCCUGCCUCUGCAUCUGACUUCAUUUCCCCAGGAUCUGGUGC